RNAcentral lists this ribosomal RNA (406 nucleotides) under uncultured bacterium. Its description in RNAcentral is "partial 16S ribosomal RNA". It matches the Rfam family "Bacterial small subunit ribosomal RNA", at positions 28 to 526 of the family's 1533-position model. The record is from RNAcentral.
GAUGAACGCUAGCUACAGGCUUAACACAUGCAAGUCGAGGGACCGGCGCACGGGUGAGUAACACGUAUCCAACCUGCCCUUUACUCGGGGAUAGCCUUUCGAAAGAAAGAUUAAUACCCGAUAUAAAGGAUGGGGAUGCGGUCCAUUUGGUUGUUGGUGAGGUAACGGCUCACCAAGCCUUCGAUGGUUAGGGGUUCUGAGAGGAAGGUCCCCCAGAUUUGAACUGAGACACGGUCCAAACUCCUACGGGAGGCAGCAGUGAGGAAUAUUGGUCAAUGGGCGCUAGCCUGAACCAGCCAAGUGGCGUGAAGGAUGAAGGCUUAUGGGUCGUAAACUUCUUUUAUAUAAGAAUAGGGAAUAGAAGAAUAAGGAUCGGCUAACUCCGUGCCAGCCGCCGCGGUAAUAG